This 253-nucleotide ribosomal RNA is filed under the name uncultured bacterium. Its description in RNAcentral is "partial 16S ribosomal RNA". It matches the Rfam family "Bacterial small subunit ribosomal RNA", at positions 524 to 776 of the family's 1533-position model. The record is from RNAcentral.
UACGUAGGGUGCAAGCGUUGUCCGGAAUUAUUGGGCGUAAAGAGCUUGUAGGCGGUUUGUCGCGUCUGCUGUGAAAUUUCGGGGCUCAACCCCGAACUUGCAGUGGGUACGGGCAGACUAGAGUGUGGUAGGGGAGACUGGAAUUCCUGGUGUAGCGGUGAAAUGCGCAGAUAUCAGGAGGAACACCGAUGGCGAAGGCAGGUCGCUGGGCCACUACUGACGCUGAGAAGCGAAAGCAUGGGGAGCGAGCAGG